CCUGAAGUUGUUGCUGUGGAGGAAUUCUUAAGGCACAUUUUCUUCUGUUCAAGCCAUUCUGUUGUUGAUUUACUUUGGUCUUUUGCGUUUGUUGUCCUGUUGCAUCACCUAACUUCUGUUGAGCUUCAAUUGGCGGACAGAUAGACUUACAUUCUCCUGCAAAAUGUCUUGAUAAUCUGAUGAUAGCAAGCUGUCCAGGCCCUGAGGCAGCAAAGCAGCCCCAAACCAUGAUGCGCCCUCCACCAUACUUUACAGUUGGGAUGAGGUGUUGAUGUUGGUGUGCUGUGCCUUUUUUUUCCCCACACAUAGUGUUGUGUUCCUUCCAAACAACUCAACUGUAGUUUCAUCUGUCCACAGAAUAUUUUGUCAGUAGAGCUGUGGAACAUCCAGGUGCUCUUUUGCAAACUUCAGACGUACAGCCAUGUUUUUUUGGACAGCAGUGGCUUCUUCUAUGGUGUCCUCCCAUGAACACCAUUCUUGUUUAGUGUUCAGAAGGCUUCAAAUGUACGGUGAAUAAUAAAGUAAGAUUAUCCAUGGAUUCUAUCCGUGUAAUAGCUUCGAGGCAAGCAACACUGAUACAUGCAUGAGAGCACCAGCUAUUCUGGAAGACUGUGUGAUCACGCUCUCCGCAGCUGAUGUAAGACCUUUAAACAGGUCAACAUUCACAAGGCCGCAGGGCCAGACGGAUUACCAGGGCGUGUACUCCGAGCAUGCACUGACCAACUGGCAAGUGUCUUCACUGACAUUUUCAACCUCUCACUGUCCGAAUCUGUAAUACCAACAUGUUUUAAGCAGACCACCAUAGUCCCUAUGCCCAAGAACACUAAGGUAACCUGCCUAAAUGACUACCGACCCGUAGCACUCACGUCUGUAGCCAUGAAGUGCCUCCACAUGCUGGUCAUGGCUCACAUCAACACCAUCAUCCCAGAAACCCUAGACCCACUCAAAUUUGCAUACCGCCCCAACAGAUCCACAGAUGAUGCAAUCUCUAUUGCACUCCACAGUGCCCUUUCCCACCUGGACAAAAGGAACAGCUACGUGAGAAUGUUGUUCAUUGACUCCAGCUCAGCGUUCAACACCAUAGUGCCCUCAAAGCUCAUCAAUAAGCUAAGGACCCUGGGACUAAACACCUCCCUCCGCAACUGGAUCCUGGACUUCCUGGCGGGCCGCCCCCAGGUGGUGAGGGAGACUGAAAAUAUUUGGCAUGGGUCCUGAGAUCCUCAAAAGGUUCUACAGCUGCACCAUCGAGAGCAUGACUGCCUGGUUGCAUCACUGCCUGGUACGGCAACUGCUUUACCUCCAACCGCAAGGCACUACAGAGGGUAAUGCAAACGGCCCAGUACAUCCCGGGGCCAGGCUUCCAGCCGUCCUGGACCUCUAUACCAGGCGGUGUCAGAGGAAGGCCCAAAAAUGGUUAAAGACUCCAGUCACCCCAGUCAUAGACUGUUCUCUCUGCUACCGCACGGCAAGCGGUACCGGAGCGCCAAGUCUAGGUCCAAAGGGCUCCUUAACAGCUUCUACCCCCAAGCCAUAAGACUCCUGAACAUCUAGUCAAAUUGCUACCCAGACUAUUUGCAGUGCCCCCAUCCCCUCUUUACACCACUGCUACUCUCUGUUGUCAUAAUCACUUUAGUAUCUCUACCUACAUGUACAUACUACCACAAAUAACCGAUGCCUCUGCACAUUGACUCUGUACCGGUAC
Long non-coding RNA from Oncorhynchus tshawytscha (Chinook salmon), 1702 nucleotides. The record is from Ensembl. Lineage: Eukaryota; Metazoa; Chordata; Actinopteri; Salmoniformes; Salmonidae.